UUCAAAUUAACCCUUUAAUGGUAAAUUUUACAUAAAAUAAAGGCACCCAUUUGCUGUAUACAGUCGGUACGUUUUUUGUUUGUUGAGACAGGGUCUCACUAUACCUACCAGGCUGGAGUGCAAUGGCAAUUCACCUGCGUGUUCAUACCUCAUUGCAGCCUCAAAUUCCCAGGCUCAAGCGAUCCUCAGUUCGGCAAGUUCUAACAAACGUAAGCACCAACUUAAAUAAGAUAGAACUGUUUCCAUCAUCCAAAAGGAAGGCUGGUGUUGCCUGAUUGGCGGCGGCAGGCAGGAGUCUGAGGGACCUGCUUGAUGAGGGCUCCACAGGCCCAGGGCUGGGCCUCGCCCGUGCCUUUGACCCUUGGCGCAUUUUCUUCGUGCCCUUUGCUGGCGCGCUCUAUGUCAUGCGUCCAGUGGUGCGUCACAAGCAUGCGACAGACAGUGCAUGCUGGCCUCGGAGGAGGAGAGGGCAGCUGGGAUACCUCUGCGAGUUUCCCUCAGCACUCCGAGAGCCGCGGAAGGCGCAAACUGCUCUUGUGACCUCCCCAGUAAGCUGCGCCUCUGCCGUGCCUUCUCCUUGCUUGCUGUGUUCCGCGGUCUGGCCCGCAUCACCCCGCUGCCCUGAGCCGAGCCUGCCCUCGGCCCGUUCACCAACUGUUAAACCAGGGUCCUGAGUCUACAGGUUCUAGGUUUGGCUUCACCCCUGAGAGCAGUGUCCCAUGCAGCAGGCUCAGUGCUCCUCUCCGCGGAGCCUUCCUUUGGUGUCUUGGCGCCUCUCUCACAAGAAGCCAGCGCUGUUUGUUGGCAACAAGAUUCUUUGCCACUCAGAAACAAUCAAGAUUCCUCCUCCAGGGCACGAAUGGACUUGACUGUCUUUGCCUGGUGAACUGCCAUCCAGGAUCCCCCACCCACACAUUUUUGACCAUUCAAAAAUGAGCUGAGAGCCCUAGGAGAGUGCCAGGAAGGCCUAGCAAAACAGGAGGACGGUAAGAGAAGCGGUCCCACAUACAGUGGGAGUGUACCAUUAUCAUUUAGGCCUCUGGACACCACCGGAGUCCUCACUUUCUUCAGCGUAAUUUUGAGCCUCUGACGGGAAAUCUCAAUUCCAAAUUCCCAGAAGACGGCGUUGGUAAGAAAGGAGUGCUGGAUGAAGACUGUGGACCCAGGAGCUCCUUCACCAAAGGCGGCCCCAUCACCAGCUCAUACAGCCCUGCUGGUGGUGUUCUGCGCAUUUGCAGAGUGAUCCAGGUGCAGCAGGGCUCUCUGCCUAUGGCAUCGUGCUGCCUGCUGCUCAAGAGAUGGGCACAGGAAGUGCUAGAAGCGGCCAUGGGUCCAGCUCCCCAGCCUUGCUGAGCCAGGGAAGAAGAUGCAGAGAAAAAGCUUCCAAAGACACGGUCAAGGUAAAAACCCUCAGAGAUGAUUAUGAAGAUCUCUAUGCAUACAAACUAGAAAACCUAGAAGAAAUGGAUAAAUUCCUGGAAACAUAAAACCUCCCAAGUUUGAACCAGGAAGAAAUUGAAACCCUAAACAAAGACUCCAUCAAGGAAGAAUUCUCCACCCACAUCUUGAGUUGAAGGCCUUGUAAAUGGAAAAUGUCAAGGCUGUUAAUGCUGCCCGGGCUGCUGCUGUCUGCCACUGCUCCUUUGCCGUAAGUGUUUUUGUAUAAUUGUUGCUGGCACCUGAGCUUCGAGAAGAAAGCUGAGUACCAAUGGAAAAUUAUCCCCUUGGAGGAUAAAACAGUCCAUCUUGGACUACAGUGCCACUCAGACCCCCUGUGCUUUCUCUCUGUCUUCAGAAGAGACUGCACACUCCCUGCCCUCAGCCACUUUCAUUUGCAGAUUCCAGCUGUAGGCACAUUCUCAAUUACUGACUUGCCUGACCUGCUUGCCAGGCCCCAAUCCUGUCUGCCUCUCUACCUACCCCCACACCAGAUAUCGAUUGUGUAAUAAAAUGCACAAUUCCUAACUUUCCUUCUCUUGUUCUCCCCGUGGAUCUCUUUCUUUAAGUUCAAGCCCAUAUUUGGGAAAUUCACUUAGGAACAAGCAUCGAAGCCCUUUGCAUUCAUAUCUUUCCAGUUAUACAUGCUGGGUCUUCUGAUUUUGACUUCCCUGUACCUUCUAGCACCUCAACCCUUCCUUCAAGUCUUUGACAGCAAAGAGUCACCUACACCUAUGUGUGUGGAUUCUCCACCUUACUCAUGCAGACCCCUCCACCAGACUUCUGCCAGUAUCCCCUACUUUACCAGCCAUUCCAUCUCUGCUUUCCCAGUCACUUCUACCCCUGCAGCCAGCGCAUCUGCAAAUUUGACCCACCAGUCAGCUUUGGACAUUGGUGUGACUAGCAUGAACGCCAUUCCCCGCUAAGCUGCUUCUUCGGGUCUCCUUCAGGCUCUGGGAUGAACUUGGGCUCCCUCCCAUUUGACCAGGUCAUUUGUAAUGUGGAGCAGAUAUCCCCAGCUUAUAUGCAUUCAUGGUCAACAGCCCCACCCCAACUUUCAGCCUUUUCUUUGGCGCAGGAGUCACCCUUCAGCCCAUAUUUGGGUUCCCUGAUGGGGGCUAGUCAGGAGUCAUUCUCCCCAGUGACCCUAUCUGUACUGGCCUACCUAGCACAGCUUUCCAGAAGCCUCCACUCCAGUAGUCAGCACCUCUGUAGAUUCUACAUCCAAGCCUGCCUUUGAUGCUGAUGGAACUGAUAUACAUACCAUGCCCCCUCCCCAGAUUUCCCUUUUCCCAUCAUAUCUUCUGCAGUCUUCAGUGAGAGCUUCUUUCCGUUUUCCAUGGUGCUUCCUUGUUCUGAGAACAUUCCACCCAGUAUCAGCAUUACUUCCGCCUUAGCACCCACCCGCUGCCUGUACAGUCAGUCAGUGGCUCAGCUGCAAGUUUUAGCUUUUCCUUUGCUCCAGGAGCCACCUCUCAGUCCAGAGUUGGGUUCCCUAGUAAGUUGCAGCCUGAAGCCACCAGCUGUGAUGGCUCUUUCUCAACAAAAGCUUCAGACUUAACCUCCUUGCAGCACAGCCCCCUACUGGUCACAUAACUCCAUCUGAGGGUUUGCCUUCCCAAUAUUCCACCUUUGGCAUCCCUGACAUUACCUAGCUGGCAUUUGAUGACAUCCCAGAUAUUUUCCCCAUUGGCUUAGUUACUACUUCUAGCUCUAGAGUCUAAUCAGGAUGCCUAGCAGUCGCCUUUAGCCAACACCACUGCAGACCCAUUUACUUUUACAGGAUCCAUAUCCCCUGUGGGUAGUGGCAGCUUUGGGGUAAGCGUGGCUGCCUCAUGCUCCAGCUCUGCAUCUGGAGCACUCAGCUUGCUUGAGGACUGAGGAGGACACCCAGCACUACUACUCUUGUUGAUGAGUCUUAACUUGAGCAUCAUGUUCUAUCCCCUGUUACAGCUGGAAAGGCCAACUCUACAGAAAGCAAAUCUGCCCUGGGGGACCGUUUUCUUCCUGCUUAUGGUCAGAAGCCCCUUCCCUAUCAUUCAAAGCAUACCAGUUACUAUGGGAGAAGACAAUAACACUAAGAAAAAACAGGUGCCAGAGGAGACAAUGCUGUUUCUCCUUGUCGCAGAUCACUGGGGACAUUUGUGAUCAGAGCACAUCUACAGCUAGAAGGGACACCACCAUACCGGUAUUUGGAAAUACUUAUCUUCCCACUUUUUGUUGGAAUACCUGGGGAUCCCUGGCUAAUGCCUGAGUAGAACAUAUCUGACAGUGUACCUAUGCUUGAAGGUACCACUAUUCUUGCGUACACUUAGAGCACCCGGGGCUCACCUAUCCAGAGCACAGGUAGUGAAUAGGAACAGUCAGCACCACACCUGUGCUGGGAGAUACUACUGUUCCCGGCAACAUUCAGAGCAUGUGGAGAGCUUAUGGCCAGAGCACAUCUGUUGCAGUCAUAGGAGAAAAUGCCCUACAGUUUUAGGGGAUUCUUCUAGUCUCACCUAGGUCAGAACAUCGGGAGCUCACCCACCCAAUGUACCCUCUUUGACUUUGGAGGAGCCAGCACCACUGAGAAAAAUACCUAUGUGUGGAGACAUUUUUGCCACUACCUUUGGUCAGAGCAACUGUGCUUCCUGUGUACACAAGCAAGAAUCAACCUUGCUUUUAGGUUACCCUUGUCGUCUACCCAAGGCUUAACUGGAGACAAAUGUUGGGCCACAAACCCAUUCAUUAUCUUCCAGUAGAAGACCCAGGAUCUCAGCAAUUAAGGGAAAACUUCUACAAGCAGCAGGUCACCACAGUUCCCCAUAAAUGGACCUUACUCUGCUGAAGAGAGGCUCAAUCUCUUCUACUUGUGUCAAAUAAACUUCAGUUGCUCUCUGUCUUCCUCCAUCAAGCUGAAGGCUCACACCUGUGUGUGUGUGUGUUUUAGAGAUGUGAGACAGAUGAGGCUGGUCAAAUGUCAACAUACUGAACUUAAGGAGUACAACUGUGGAGAGUAGAAGAGUGAUCUGCACACAUUGUCAAUGGUGCCAUCCCUGGCUUUCACUGUUGGUCUGGCAGACCCUUCUCUGGAACAGUUUUCUUCUGGUCUUGGAACUGGCAGGAUGCCCACAGCUGCCUACAGCUGUCUCUUUUCCACUUGCCUCAAUGAGCUCUUAUCUUUCUUUUCACCAUUAAAAAUCAUAAAUCUUUUUUUUUUCUGUUAAUUUGUCCUGUGCUCACAAGUCUUUUACUCUGUGACUCAACUGUGAAGGAAGAAUUGACUUGUAUUAAGUGGUGACAUGUUGAGCCAGACUUAAAUGCGCAACAUUUUCUACAGUCCAGUGAAUAAGAUGUGGAAUUAAUCAUGCUUAAUCACUGCACACGGUGACUUCUGCAGUCUCUGUGUUUUGAGUGUAAAGAUGGUGACCCAAGAGGAAGGAAGAUCCAGAGAAGGGAGAGACAGUGUGAGUGGCCCUUGCCUCUCCUCUCUGGGCUUCUCUUCCACCAUCUGACCUCACUGAAAGCCAGCCUAUCCCCAACUCUAAACCACACUUUACAAUUUUAGUUGUCGUAAAUAUUUACAUGUUCUUUUUGUGCUGUUUUCAUUAAUUAAACUUAGGCCAAUCCCCACACAUUUCCAUUUCAACCAGAGAGUAUAGAUUUGGCAUCCAUGCUCUUGAGCCUGGAAGUGUGAGGAAAGAAAAAGUUCACAUCUGCUCUGCAGUUAUUGAGAUUUUUAAGUCUAGGAUGUAACAUAUUACUUGACACUCUCAUCAUGAUGCUUAAAAUAUCAGGAACUACCUGGACGUGGCCUAUUUGGAAAAAUAACCUGUCUGGCUCUAGUCCAAACCACUGAAAUAUCAAAUUGCAAAAGUUACAAUUUCACCCAGAUUCAGCUGACCCUAGAGUUCCACUGUCUCCACUAGACUUAGUUGCUGAAAAUGCAAUCUUUUCUAAUACAGUUUACAACCCAGGAAAACCACUUUAAGAUGGGGGAAAGAGAAAAUUACCUCUUACCCCAGAGGAAUUUACAAGCUAGUGUGGGAGACAGAUGAAUAAACCAAAAAUUACAACUGGAGAGGCAAAUGUUAGGGUGAUGGGAGCGGGUAAGAAGGACACAAAACUACGUUUGGGAAAUGACUUCUGUUCUGUGCCAGAGAGGAGAUGGUGGCAUGCAUUUAAAAACUCCAGGUGCCCUUAAAGUGGUUGUAUAAGGAGAGGCCUUGAAUUAACUCCAGAAAUGUUCUGCACAAAACUCUGAGAUAUCAUAUAGCUUCUCCCAAUCUUUCCUUCCUUACCUGCAAAAUGUAAAAAUACUCGCUGCCUCCUAAAGCAGGUAGAAGACAUGCAUGUGAUUUGGGAGAUGUAAAAUACACAAGAUAAUAAAUCAGAGAGGCUGAGUUUAAAUACUGCCUGUAGCACUCAAUAGUUGUGUGAUCCUGGUGAGGUACUUAAUCUUUCUACAAAAUAGAACUAAUAAUAGUGACAAAUUUAUUAAAUUCUGAGAAUUAAAAUAAUUAUAAUACAUUAGGCAUUUAAAACACUGCUUGGUACACAGAAGGUGAAAUAUAGGGGUUUGUCACUUAUUUCAAAAUGUUAAUUAUUUAUAGAAUUACUAACAUAUGUUUUAUUAAUAUAUAAUCCCUUCAAGAUUGGUAUUAUGGUACUGUAAGCCUGAGAUCCUAGUAAAGAUUUAAUCAGCUAGUCUGAGAAUGUUUUGGGGGGAAAUGAAUUGUUGAUCUUUAUCACUUUCUUUUCUAUAAUUACCAACUCUGUUUGACUCUCCAGGGAGCAGAAUAAUUAAGAUUGUUAAGAGGAAUCAGGGAGCUAAAUAUUAUUGCACUUUGAAAUACUUCUCUGAUACGGAGAAUUCCUCCUCCAGUUGAGUUUGUACACACAAUUUGAGAGAAGCCUACCUGCAUAUAUGCCUGAAAUGGCACCCAAUUUUGUAUCCUGAGGCCUCAGGGAUGGGGCACCCACAGUGUAGAAGUUGGAGCAGUAGGAGUAAAUUUAGUUUUUCUUCUACAGGAGGUGCUUGUCAACAGAGCUACAUGCUUUUCACUGAAAGGUUAAGGGCAGACAGAUUUGACAGAACAGAGGGGUUCCACAUUAAAGGCUUCGAGUAGAAAUGUCUGUCACUUCCCUCAAUAGUUACCAGUAGCCAUAUGGUGCUGCAGUGACAGGUCUGGGAAUUUCAGAGCAAGUUGUAGGCUGCACUUGAGGAGCCUUCUGGGGUCAGUGGAUGGGGGACAGGUUAAAGGAAAAUAACAACUUUUACUUUUAUUCAAUAAAUGGACAUAUGUUGUUUGACCCCACUCCAUCUUGCCUCUCAGUGAUCACUGACAAAAUGAAGAAAACAAUGUUAAAAAAUUGGGAUGGAACAAAGGCCCUUGGUGGGUGGU
Molecule: long non-coding RNA, 6824 nt
Filed under: Homo sapiens (human)
Lineage: Eukaryota; Metazoa; Chordata; Mammalia; Primates; Hominidae
Description: HSALNT0358886
Source: RNAcentral